CUCAGGUUGUCGAACCUGGCUCCCACGUUGGGACUUUUGGGGGGAUUAUCACCUGAACUGUGAGGAAGAUGUUGUCGUCACCAGAAGACCGCCUGUGGUAAGACCUCCAAAGAAUAAGACACAACUUCGUCAGGAUUCAUCAAGUUUUACGAACAUCACUGCUUUUCUGAUUCGGCAAGGCCCCAGACGAUUCAUAUAUCAAACGGACCAGGCAGACUGUUAUGACAACAAGUUUAAGUUGCUCUCCAGUUGCUUGUGGAACAAAUUUAUGAGAUGUGGCAGUCAAAAUUACAUAGUACUAGGCAUAGAAGAAUACAUAACUGUCUCAUGGGUUCGCGUGAGAGCUGUGCGAACUGAAAUAGAACCCUGGCUAAAUAACUCGUUCCCAUGGACCUACAUUGCACCAGCCGAGCUGUACUACAUUGGAGAUUUUCCUGAAGGGACUGCUCGUUCUCCCGACGGGUUAAAAGGACCACAGGUUGCCGACCUGCGCACCCAACGACUCCCAACUCCUGACGAUCUUCUCAAUGCUCCUAAAGACCAGUUUGCGAAAAUCGACAAGUGUGUGGCCAAGAGGAUCUUCGACAGCCUCAACGGAACCACCUGGAGGAGGACUCUCUCCUCUCCACGGUGUGACAUCUGGCAGACUAAUUACGCCCUUUUCACCGUAUGGACCUAUGAAUGCCCUGACCCUGACUUGGUCCCAACAGCAAAGCUCGCUCUGCAAGGCUGGUAUGAGGAUUAUUAUCGAAAGUGGGACUGGGAAUUUUGGGGAUUUCAACAAAGAGAAUUUCAAAACUGGGUGUUACCUUGUCUCAGUCAAUCAAAUAAUUAUUGGAUAAAAUAUCAGUAUGUUGCCACUGUCUACUCCAAAGAAGUCACCAUAUGGCCCGGAGCUUUUUGGAGACCCGAGCCAUAUGUGAACCCAAGACCCUGGCGCAUGACGUGUCGACGCAACAACACUGAAUGCGUCAUAGCAUUGGCCAGGAAACCUUGCCAAACGCUCAUAGGCUGGGAAGACUACUGCAAAGACCAUUACGCAGAAGAGUAUGACACCCAUUCAUCGGAGGUUACUUGGAGGAAGAUCAACGGAGUGUGGCGGAGAGCAAUCGUGAGUGGAAAGACAUGUACUGAUGCGAUCCUGGGCUAUCACCUCCAGAAGCGCAAAAGCAUCCUUAAUGCCCCCGUUCCCUUCAUCCCACACCCUAUCAUCGCCAUUGCGGAAGGGCAUGCAUUCCGGAAAAGUCUGUGCCAGGGUGAAGUAGACCAUGGGUUCGACUGGGUUGGACCUAACCUUAUGUAUUCUAACCUUACCUGCUAUGUGACCAAAGAGACAUGGCAGCAAUGUGGAGACGGAAAGAAUCAACAUGAAUGUUACUGGUAUGAGGUCCUGGGCUCCUCUGUGGCCACCGUAGUCACCGACGUUGUGGAAGGAGUUGCCGACGUGAUAGGGGGAGGGCUCUCUAUUGUCGAAGGUUGGAUACUCAGUGCCCUGAGUAUGUUGUGGCCAUACUUGCUAGGCCUCCUGGGCGUUGCCGUGGUUUUGAUCAUAGGCAAGGUCAUCGUGGAGGUGUGGCUGAAGGAACUUUGUCGUUGCAGGGGGAAGGACUAUAAGCCCCUCCCCCCCAAGGCGGAGCGUAAAUCCGCAUAAAAGACGGCUGCUGUGUGCCUACGAGCCAUUCCUCUUCACGGCUGCGGUGGGGACCUGACCUAAAGAACAACCAUCAUCAGAGAUCAUGGCAUCUAACUCAUCUACUAACUCUUCUACUCCGACAUCACUCUUUGCGCCUAUUCAAGUACCGAUCUGCUGUGUGGGGUGUGGAAUCCCCGCAGAAUCCUAUGGAUUCCUUUGGGUUGCAUCGUCAACUCGUUGGUGCCACAAGUGUGUGCACACUCACUUUAGCUAUGUAACGGCUAUCUUCUGCGUCGAAGGACGUGGGGUCCCGUACAUUGCGGCUUCUACAUCUAGAAUCCUGGAGCGAGACCACAAGAUCGUGUGGACCUCUGCCUUGGGCCAAGACGAAAACGAGCUAUCAUCGUCCAAACUGGGCAAUGGGCGGAUGUACCCCAUAGUCAGGAAAUUGUGGGAGAACCAAGUGUCCCGUCGUUGCCUACCUACUCUUCAUCUUUUGAAUGGCAAGGUGGUGGCUGUGGGAGAGUAUAUUCCCCCUGUUUGUCCAGUAUCUCCGGAUAUGUUCGUCGACGUCGGAACCCAAACUAGCACAGCAACACAGGAUCAGUGUUCCCAAACUGAGUUACUCAGUUCAUCUCACCAACCCUGCCAGACGACUGACACCGGUUCUUCAUCAUCCACCUACGAGGAAGAAUUCCAGGAGCUGUUGGCAGAGUUAUGUCUCCCAACACCUCCCCAAGAGGUGACUGCGGCUGGUUCUGCCCCAGCUCCUCCACCUCGGCCGAGUCCCCCACAUCUUCAGCCCCAGCCCUGCUCUACAUCUGACGCGGAUAUGGACACGGAUGUCUUGCUCCCACCACCGUCGAAUCUCACGGAGUACGACGUUGUGGAUGCGUGGACACCGUCUCCCUCUCCUACGGUCAUCGCUGAAGAAGAUGUCCUCUUUCUUUGCUGUGAUGAUGGACUGGACAACGGCCUUGACCUCUUUUGAGUAGGGCUGUGCGUGUUCUGCUGAGCACUGUCCGAUCUCAAGGAGGGGGUGUCAAGAACUCUGGUAUGAAAAUGUAUGUAAAUUUGAGAUCAGUCCAGGCACAUGCAGAACAACGGAUCAUAAAGUACCUAGAAGAUUGUGGCAGCCCUGUAUGUUGAUUAAAAAUGAUUGCUUAUUGUGUACUCUUUGUAUGAGAAUGUGUUCUCUGUAUUCUAUUAAUGUUGUAACGAGAAAAUAGAAUCGAAACAUCUGAUGUACUAAUGUUUUAUAUGAUUUUAAUGAUUGAAGUAAUUAUCGCAACAUCUAAUGUUCUGAUGUUUUAUAUGAUUCAAGUAAUUAUCGAAACAUCUAAUGUACUAAGAUUUUAUAUGAUUUUAAUGAUUGAAGUAACUUGUAUUAUUAAAGUUAGUAUAGAACAAGGAGAAGUAUAAGGUUGGGGUGUGGAGGCUGAUGCAAGCCGUUGUGCAACUCGGAAAGUCCCAAAAGUCCCAGG
Gambusia affinis (western mosquitofish) is the source of this 3117-nucleotide RNA transcript. RefSeq lists it as uncharacterized. The record is from RefSeq and is a predicted model, not a curated record. Lineage: Eukaryota; Metazoa; Chordata; Actinopteri; Cyprinodontiformes; Poeciliidae. The transcript is spliced from 2 exons.